CGUAUCCAAAGCUCAAAUGUGAUAAUAUUUUAUAUAUAUUUUUGAAAUACUUUUGUUACACGACUAGUAUUCUGGUAUUAGGUAACAUCACGUGAUUAAUUCAAACCAAUGAGACGACAGCUUUGGACGAGAGUCUGUAUAGCUAAUGAGCUUGCUUCACUGGUUUUGCCUUCACUGAGCGAGCGCCACUUUCUCAGCUAUCUCUUGAGGUAGGUCAAAUUUCCUCAUAAAAGUCUUAAAAUUUCACAGACAGACGGUGGAUUAAUCAAUUUGAUGAUUUUAAAUAUGUCGAUUGUUAAUUUAGAUGAGUGUAAUAUUACUUACGUUUAAACAAUAAAAAAAUAUAACGGAUUAUCUUCUGCUAUCAUUGUUUUCUGAGGUAAAUUAUGCGUUGGAAAAAAAACAAACGGAUAGUUCAAAUAAUUGUAGCCUAAGAAAUUGUGGCUAAAGCCCAUUUUUAUUGUUUAUAUGAUUUUAGUUUGAUAUAUUGUUAAUGUGAACCGUUAAACGGACGGACCGACCGAACAAUUUCAGUGAGGGAAAAGGUAACCGUUAACUUAAGUGGUUGUCAGACACUCAGGCGUCUGCCUGUUUUUGGUAACAAAAAUCAGCUUAACCGAGGUUAUAUGGAUGGUAGGAACAACCACUUAAGUUGUGGACUAACAUAUGCAAUUAUAUAUAAUAAAUGCAUGGUGUCGUCUAUAGAAGAAUAACAUAACGUUACGUUACUCGAAGCUACAGUGACAUCUGCAGGCGAGGCUUUACUUAAAUGCCUUGUUUGUUCAUGAGUUUUUUACGUGUUUCAUAUUUUAUCAUAGUUUUUUACGUUCAUUUUGAAGUUAUGGUAACUUAACUUAUUUGUUUAAGAUACGUUUGGUAGGCGCGAACCCGGGAGGUCGCGCCCAGCUUGAGCUUCCGCAUUAUUAACACUGUUAGCUUCACUGUUAUUUGCGAUAGACGAAAAAUGUUUGAAUAAAGAGCCUAGGUAGGGGGAAGUACGCAAAAUACAUGGGUUUUUUCUAGUGUAACGUUUAUUAAUAUGUUGGAGGCAAUUCCUCAAAAUAUACUUUAUAAAAUAUACUAUUGUAAACAGAAUAUGGUUGGUAUAUCAACCCUUAUGAUUUGAUAAUAAUGUAUGUUUUUUUUCUCUUCCCCCUGUACUUUUGUUACAUCAUUUUUUUGCUGUCUAGACAUUUUUGUGGUAAGUCAUUUAUAUAACAAUCUCUGUUGCAACAUAAUACUUUUUUUCUGAACAGUUAACCUUGCACAUGAUAUUUAAAUAGUAAUGUUUAAUUUUUCUUUCUUUUGCUCUUUUGAAAACAUUUAACUGCUUUAGCUAAACCUCAGCCAAAUUCCUGGUUUUGCUGGGCAACAGCACCUAUUUCAUACAAUUUUGUUAUAGCGAACCCAAAGGCUCUUUUCAGAGCCAUCCACAUUGCGUCACUGAUUGGACAUCUAAUUCAUCUUUCAGCUUGCCUCUUAAAAACUGCCAGGAAACCCAAAAAAUCACCGAUUCAACUAAAAAAACAAAGCCUACAAUUUCUACCCAAAAAAAACGACCCAAUUUUUUACCCCACCCAACCAAUCUGUUGCCCUAACCCCCAUACACCGACUUUCCCCAAAACAGAACGCCCUUUUAACUUUUUGCUUUGACAGAAAAAGUGAGAACAGAACUACCUACAGCUCCAGUGUGCCCUGCUGCCUUGAGUGUCUUCACAAAGCAACGUUGAUUAGAGGACUGCGUUGGGAAAUCAACACCAUCAACACACACAAUAAUUUACUAUAGUUUUAAAAUUACAUAAUUUCCUAUAGUCUUUUAGACUGCUUAUAAUAGAUAAUACACAUUACAGUACUUUUAAAAGUCAUUAAUAUAUCAGUAAAAAAAAAUUGUUUUUGAAGUUCAUCUUUGAAACGUAUUACAUUUAUAUCUGAGUCUUUUCACAUUUGUCUAUACUCUACUAAUUAAUUGCAUUAGUAAUAUUGCCUUUGGUUAUCAUUUCUGUACAAUAUUGGGGUUAACAGUUCAACAGUUCCAUUGCUAUAGUCUUGUGUGUUUGUAUAUCUAAUUUCUUGACUGUUUUAACGGUGAAAUUUUAGUACAGUACUUUAAUAUAUCAGUAAAAUAUUCUAAGUUUGACUGUUGUUGUAACUGCUAUUUGAAUAGACUACAUUUAAAGGUCAUUAAAAUAUUUUGGUUUGCCAAGUUCCUCUUUGAAUCUUACCACAUUGUAACAUUUACCUUUAUUAAUUGGUUGCAUUUCUGAUAUUGCUUUUGGUUAACAUUUUUGUACAAUAUUGGGGUUGACAGUAUAACAGUUCAAUUGCUAUAGUUUUGUGUGUUUGUAUAUUUAAUUUGUUGACUUGUUACUAAAAUUUCAGUCUUGUACUUUAAAAGCUAAUUAAUAUAUCAGUAUUAUAUUUACAGUUUGACUCUUGUUGUAAUUGUUAUUUGAGUGCAGUACAUUUAAAGGUAAUUAAAAUAUCAGUAAAGUAUUUUGGUUUGGCAAGUUCAUAUUUGAAUCUUACCACGUUGUAACAUUUGCCUUUACUAAUUGGUUGCAUUACUGGCAUUGCCUUUAGUUAACAUUUUAUAAUUCAGUGAAAUACAAAGGCUUGACGGUAUAACAGUUACAUUGUGUGUAUGUAAAUACAGUAGGUUGACACUUGUUACUGUGGUAUACUAGCAUAACGUAUAAUAAGCAUUAAUAUUCAUUGAGUGGGUCUUUGUAUUUGUUAUUAAGGUUUUAUCCGGAAAAUUUGCACUUGUUUAACAUACGAAAGGUACUUUGCUAUAAACAGAUCUUUAGAUUUCUAACACCUGUUCCAUCGUCAUGCCACGUAAAGGUAAACGAAGUGAAGCCCAGAAGCAGCGCAGAAAGGUAGAAGCUUCACUGUGCAUUAACUCCGUGUCAAGUGCGAGUGACGUAAGCCCAGACGUGCUCUCUGUUACGGCGUCCCACUGUCAAAGUGACCCGAGGUACGGUAUUUAUUCGAGAGGGCAACAAUGCACGUGCAAUUCCUUAAUGUUUCUCGCGGUGCA
Paramisgurnus dabryanus is the source of this 3040-nucleotide non-coding RNA. Lineage: Eukaryota; Metazoa; Chordata; Actinopteri; Cypriniformes; Cobitidae. The record is from RefSeq and is a predicted model, not a curated record.